AACGCGAAGAACCUUACCCAGGCUUGACAUCCUGAGAAUUAAUCUGAAAGGAUUGAGUGCCCCAUUGGAUUGAAGAAGUAUAUGACUUCGUCAGUCUGAUGGGGAACUCAGUGACAGGUGUUGCAUGGCCGUCGUCAGCUCGUGUCGUGAGAUGUUUGGUUAAGUCCAUCAACGAGCGCAACCCUUAUAGUUAGUUGUAUUUCUCUAGCUAGACUGCCCUGGUAACAGGGAGGAAGGAGGGGAUGAGGUCAGGUCUGUAUUACCCUUACGCCUGGGGCUACAAACACGCUACAAUGGCCGGUACAAAGGGCAGCCAAGUCGCAAGACGGAGCAAAUCCCGCCAAAGCCGGUCCCAGUUCGGAUUGCAGGCUGAAACUCGCCUGCAUGAAGUCGGAAUCGCUAGUAACGGUAGGUCAGCACACUACCGUGAAUACGUUCCCGGGCCUUGUACACACGAGACGAC
Molecule: ribosomal RNA, 463 nt
Filed under: uncultured bacterium
Lineage: Bacteria
Description: bacterial SSU rRNA
Rfam family: Bacterial small subunit ribosomal RNA
Source: RNAcentral